GUAUUUGAAAUAUUAACAUUCUUUUACAUUUAAAAUUAAACAACCAGGACCAAACCAGAAUUAGACCUGAAUUGGAUCAAACCGUGUUUGACUAGAGUUUAACUUGAAAUUAUAAAAAACUGGAACCAAAACCACUUUAAAACCGGACUUAAAACUGGAAUUAGUUCAAAUCAGACCGUUCUGGUCUGGUUUCAGUUCAAACCGACGAAAGUUGACAGGAACUGGAUCGGUGGCCACCCCUAUUGAUUGCUUCUGCAUAAAAUCUCUUAUUGCCUUUAUCAUUGAAGAGCACUCAGGCAGCUCAGGAAAAAAAUAAAAUGUGUGCAUUGCAUUAGGAUACUCCACCAAAUACACUUCUUUUGUGGAUUUCCUCAACCCUUCAUAGUACCUUCUCUCCCAAUCUUGUAAAGGAUCAUAUCCUCCCACGAAAAUAAUUGUUUUCGGAAACUUGACUUUGGAAAUGUCAACCAAAUUAGGCCCGAAAACAUUUACCGUCCGAUGGUCUCGGUUGUCACCCUUUGGCAAGAAUGUCUUCCACAUCCAAUCUGUAAGUUCCGUCGUAAUAAGUGGAGCUCGUGUGAGCCUCAACUCAGAUUCUGUUCGUUCUUCUCCUCCAAAAAAUGGUUGGAUCAAUAUGUUUCCAAUCAGUUCUAUCCUAGAAAAUUCAUGUUCACUUGCUUUAAGUGCCACAUGAUGCGCCAAGUUACCUCCUGCACUAUCUCCUGCGAGAAAACAGUGUUUGAGAUUGGCUUGGCUUGAAAAACCUUCAAUUUGUGUGCAGUCAAUGAAUUUGAGAACAUGAAAACCAUCUUCGUAUUGGGUUGGACAACGAUGCUCUGGAGCUAGUCGAUAGUUGACGGAGAUAAUAAAAGCAGAGAGUUCACCAGCAAGUCGAUAGCAAAAGUCGUCGUAAAAUUUUGAAUUGGGUGCAAAGUAGGAAAAGCCACCACCAUGGAAGAAGAAAAUAACUGGCAAACCAGCACCAUUAGAAGCUGCACAUGGGGUAUUGUUGGCGGUGGUAGGGAUAUAAAGGCGGAACCAGAGGUUUUUUUUCUUCUCAACCACUAUAUCACUGGUUUUUACACCACCAUUGAUUGGUUUCUUGGAGGGAGAGGUUCUAAGGUCGAAGAAGCUCAUGAGAAAACGGUUGACGGUGCCAUCAGAACGACGACUGAUAUUAAAGGCGAAGGAAAGAACAAAUAAGAAGAGCUUAGCAUUCCAUGGGAGGUCCGGCCAUUGUUGGUUGUUUUCAGCCAUUUUGCUCUCUUGUAAAUAUAUAUAAAAUGCUUUGCGG
Molecule: unclassified non-coding RNA, 1294 nt
Filed under: Hevea brasiliensis (rubber tree)
Lineage: Eukaryota; Viridiplantae; Streptophyta; Magnoliopsida; Malpighiales; Euphorbiaceae
Source: RNAcentral